RNAcentral lists this ribosomal RNA (776 nucleotides) under uncultured Neocallimastigales. RNAcentral's name for it is "partial large subunit ribosomal RNA". It matches the Rfam family "Eukaryotic large subunit ribosomal RNA", at positions 23 to 647 of the family's 3401-position model. The record is from RNAcentral. Lineage: Eukaryota; Fungi; Neocallimastigomycota; Neocallimastigomycetes; Neocallimastigales.
UAGAGAGAGACAUGCGCGCAUAUCAAUAAGCGGAGGAAAAGAAACUAACUAGGAUUCCCUCAGUAACGGCGAGUGAAGCGGGAAGAGCUCAAAUUUGAAAUCUUCAAGGUUCUACCUUGACGAAUUGUAGUUUAUAGAAGUGUUUUCUGUUAGUGGAGUGGCAAAAGUUCUUUGGAAUAGGACAUCAUAGAGGGUGAGAAUCCCGUAUUUGGUCAUUCCUCCUAGCGUUGUGAUACACUUUCAACGAGUCGGAUUGUUUGGGAAUGCAGUCCAAAAUGGGUGGUAAAUUUCAUCUAAAGCUAAAUAUUGGCGAGAGACCGAUAGCGAACAAGUACCGUGAGGGAAAGAUGAAAAGAACUUUGAAAAGAGAGUUAAACAGUACGUGAAAUUGUCAAAAGGGAAGCGUUUGACACCAGUGUUGUUUUUCCGAAAAUCAAUUACGAAUGUUUUGUUUUUAAGGAGUUAUGACUUCAUCGGCUUGCUUCUUUCUUUACGAAACUUUCUUAAUGCACUUUUCGGUUAACAAGUCAACAUCAAUUUCUUUUGUUGUAAAAGGGUACUGAGGAAGGUGGCUUUCUUUCCGGAGAAAGUGUUUAUAGCCUUGUACCUCUGCAAUCGGAGAGAUUGAGGUCUGCAGCGUAGAUCCUUCGGGGUUAGAUACAUUUGUGCUAAGUUAUAGCUUUUCAUAGACAACUUGUUGACUAUGUUUAGUCUUGUAGCUUACUCGCUUAUGCUAUUUUACCUACGCUUAGGAUGUUGAUCUGUAGUGCGUGCGC